RNAcentral lists this ribosomal RNA (371 nucleotides) under Trigonopterus cf. squamosus MB-2015. Its description in RNAcentral is "SSU rRNA". It matches the Rfam family "Eukaryotic small subunit ribosomal RNA", at positions 175 to 529 of the family's 1831-position model. The record is from RNAcentral. Lineage: Eukaryota; Metazoa; Arthropoda; Insecta; Coleoptera; Curculionidae.
ACAGAGCUCCGACCGGAGACGGAAGGAGUGCUUUUAUUAGAUCAAAACCAAUCGGUGGCGGGUUCGCCCGUCAUCGUACAACUUGGUGACUCUGAAUAACUUUCCGCUGAUCGCACGGUCAUCGCACCGGCGACGCAUCUUUCAAAUGUCUGCCUUAUCAACUGUCGAUGGUAGGUUCUGCGCCUACCAUGGUCGUAACGGGUAACGGGGAAUCAGGGUUCGAUUCCGGAGAGGGAGCCUGAGAAACGGCUACCACAUCCAAGGAAGGCAGCAGGCGCGCAAAUUACCCACUCCCGGCACGGGGAGGUAGUGACGAAAAAUAACGAUACGGGRCUCAUCCGAGGCCCCGUAAUCGGAAUGAGUACRCUCUA